GUGGUCGAGUUACAAACAUCCUGAGUCACAAAGAGAGCAGGAAGACGUUCAGUUCACUUUUACUGAAAGAAAAUGCUGUAUUGAUUUGCCUUAUAUGUUCCACAUUAAGAAGGAGUGGCUUACAGGAUUGCAGUGAGUGGUGUGAUGAAAAUAAAAACAGGAUAUUAGCACCGAGACGAAAUAUGGGUCCUUUUUUCUACAAGACUAAAUACUGUAGUACAUUUGUUGGACACCUUACAUUACUUCCUGAAUUGCACAUUUUGCGGCUAGGGGUUAGUUCAGUUCCCUGUGGGCUCGUGUGAAUCCUGAAUAUGGUGACCAACAUGUUGCUGCUAGUCCUCUUUGUUUCAGAUUUUCUCCCACAUCUUGUUGAAGGUGCUUGUGAG
Long non-coding RNA from Trematomus bernacchii (emerald rockcod), 386 nucleotides. RefSeq lists it as uncharacterized. The record is from RefSeq and is a predicted model, not a curated record. Lineage: Eukaryota; Metazoa; Chordata; Actinopteri; Perciformes; Nototheniidae. The transcript has 4 exons.